RNAcentral lists this ribosomal RNA (597 nucleotides) under uncultured bacterium. RNAcentral describes it as "bacterial SSU rRNA". It matches the Rfam family "Bacterial small subunit ribosomal RNA", at positions 112 to 704 of the family's 1533-position model. The record is from RNAcentral.
AAUACUUAGGAAUCUACCUAUUAAUGGGGGACAACAUUUCGAAAGGAAUGCUAAUACCGCAUACGCUCUACGGGGGAAAGCAGGGGAUCUUCGGACCUUGCGUUAAUAGAUGAGCCUAAGUCGGAUUAGCUAGUUGGUGGGGUAAAGGCCUACCAAGGCGACGAUCUGUAGCGGGUCUGAGAGGAUGAUCCGCCACACUGGGACUGAGACACGGCCCAGACUCCUACGGGAGGCAGCAGUGGGGAAUAUUGGACAAUGGGGGGAACCCUGAUCCAGCCAUGCCGCGUGUGUGAAGAAGGCCUUUUGGUUGUAAAGCACUUUAAGCGAGGAGGAGGCUACUGGUACUAAUACUACCAGCUAGUGGACGUUACUCGCAGAAUAAGCACCGGCUAACUCUGUGCCAGCAGCCGCGGUAAUACAGAGGGUGCGAGCGUUAAUCGGAUUUACUGGGCGUAAAGCGUGCGUAGGUGGCCAAUUAAGUCAAAUGUGAAAUCCCCGAGCUUAACUUGGGAAUUGCAUUCGAUACUGGUUGGCUAGAGUAUGGGAGAGGAUGGUAGAAUUCCAGGUGUAGCGGUGAAAUGCGUAGAGAUCUGGAGG